GAUGAACGCUGGCGGCGUGCCUAAUACAUGCAAGUAGAACGCUGAAGGAAGGAGCUUGCUCUUUCCGGAUGAGUUGCGAACGGGUGAGUAACGCGUAGGUAACCUGCCUGGUAGCGGGGGAUAACUAUUGGAAACGAUAGUUAAUACCGCAUAACAGUAGAUGUUGCAUGACAACUAUUUGAAAGGGGCAAUUGCUCCACUACCAGAUGGACCUGCGUUGUAUUAGCUAGUUGGUGAGGUAACGGCUCACCAAGGCGACGAUACAUAGCCGACCUGAGAGGGUGAUCGGCCACACUGGGACUGCGACACGGCCCAGACUCCUACGGGAGGCAGCAGUAGGGAAUCUUCGGCAAUGGACGGAAGUCUGACCGAGCAACGCCGCGUGAGUGAAGAAGGUUUUCGGAUCGUAAAGCUCUGUUGUAAGAGAAGAACGAGUGUGAGAGUGGAAAGUUCACACUGUGACGGUAUCUUACCAGAAAGGGACGGCUAACUACGUG
Molecule: ribosomal RNA, 497 nt
Filed under: uncultured bacterium
Lineage: Bacteria
Description: partial 16S ribosomal RNA
Rfam family: Bacterial small subunit ribosomal RNA
Source: RNAcentral